CCCAAACUGUGUGAGUGCGAUUUUCAAUCGCAAAAUUACUGAUAAAAACCUAUUCGCUUGAAGAGGUAGAGUGUGGAGAACUGUUGUGGAUAACAUCAAUCAACCCGGAACGAUUUACGAUCUCACUUAUUCAAAACUAAAGAAUCGGAGAAUCCAGUUAUUACUGUCAAUGAUUACUGGCUAUACAGAUAAAUCAAAAAGUAAACAUAGAGGACAAUGAUGCAUUAGAGACUGGCAUAUCAUCUCAUACGGACAACACCGUAGGAGAGUUUUUUUUAUAUUUGAACAAUUCAGCUUCGCUUCAAAGAAAGUUGGACGCCUUGAAAAAAAAAAUUUAAACUCACCGUUUGGACUUAUGGAAGAUAUUGAAAAUGCUAUAAAGUAGGGAUAUUAUACGGGAUUUGUAUAUACUUUUGUAAAUAAUAUAUUGUAUGAUAUUUUAAAAGAAAAUAAUGAGUACCACCAGUGUUACUACAAAUGGCUAGUGAAUUUAGUAAGUAAUUUUGCCAAUUUUGUAAAGUUGGCAAGAAAAUAAUUACUAAAUAGUUGGUAAUUUUGCCAAUUUUCGCAAAAUUGGCCAAAAACAAAAAAAAAUAUCUACUAAAAACACUAGCCAGUUGUGUCUGAGUUUAGCGAACCGACUAUAACUCUUGUUAAAUUAAGGUUGAGUUUACACUUUUGACUUGCCUACAGAUUUAAAAAUAUUUUUGUCAUAAUAUACAGUAUGUCCCUGUAAGUUGGAACCAUAAUAUGGAAAACUUUUUUAUUAUUCAUUUUAUGAAAAAUAGUUGUUCUACAUAAAAGGUUCUGCAAUAUCUAGAAUCUCUGAUUCAACCAUCAGAUAGUAAAUUUUUAUGGGUAUUACACAGGGUAUGUCAAAAAAUAUGAAUUUCACUCAAGAGAAAAGUAGCUUUAUUUUUACAAUAUUGAACAUUGUUAUUAUGAACAGUUAAUUGGAAUUAGAACUAUAUUCUAAUAUGCAAUUACAUCCUUCUAAUUGAAAAAGAAAUUAAAAAUUUUUCUCGGCAUAUAUCAUCAACAUUAUUUUCUGUUAUUUCAAUUAUGAUAACUUUUGUUAUUAAUUUUACGAAAGAAAAGUUAUAGAAUGUUCUGCAUGAUCUAAAACCUAAAAUAUAACCAUCUUAUAUCAAA
Diabrotica virgifera virgifera (western corn rootworm) is the source of this 1152-nucleotide long non-coding RNA. RefSeq lists it as uncharacterized. Lineage: Eukaryota; Metazoa; Arthropoda; Insecta; Coleoptera; Chrysomelidae. The record is from RefSeq and is a predicted model, not a curated record. The transcript has 2 exons.